Molecule: non-coding RNA, 28 nt
Filed under: Bombyx mori (domestic silkworm)
Lineage: Eukaryota; Metazoa; Arthropoda; Insecta; Lepidoptera; Bombycidae
Source: RNAcentral
UAAAACAACUAUCAGGUAGUACAUGACA